Engraulis encrasicolus (European anchovy) is the source of this 1135-nucleotide long non-coding RNA. RefSeq lists it as uncharacterized. NCBI's taxonomy places the organism in Eukaryota, Metazoa, Chordata, Actinopteri, Clupeiformes, Engraulidae. The transcript is spliced from 3 exons. The record is from RefSeq and is a predicted model, not a curated record.
GUCAUAGUCUGACAACACCGCUGCAGGGAGGGAAAGAAAGACAGAAUUCAACCCAGCCAUAUUUUACAGACCCUGAUAUAGUAACUCCGGGCCGCUGACAGCUUUGGCUGGGCCCAGGACAAAGUCAUCUGAAAGGACCCCCAUCCAAUGUAAUGAGGACCCAAUGUUGGGCCCCCCAACAUCCUGGGCCUGGGACAGCUGACCUCUGUUUGAUAUGACCAUGUCUGUGAGGAUGCGGAGGAGGAUGUGAGUGCUGAUGGUGGUCAUGAGGCGAGGAGGAGGAGGAGGAGGAGGAGGAGGAGGAGAGGAUGCUGAUGAUGAUGAGGAGAAGAGGAUUCUGAUGAUGAGGAGAAGAGGAUGAUGAGGAGGAGGAGGAAGAGAGACUUCUGAUGAUGAUGAUGAGGAGGAGGACAGGAGAGAAUGAUGAUGAUGAGGAGCAGGACAGGAUUCUGAUGAUGAUGAUGAGGAGGAGAGGAUGCUGAUGAUUAUGAGGCGGAGGAGGAGGAGGAAGAGAGGAUGCUGAUGAUGCAGAGGAGGAUAGGACUGAUGUUGAGAAGGAGGAGAGGAUGAUGAUGAGGAUGGAGAUGUGAUUGUGAUGGGGAGAUGGUGAUGCUGAUGCUGAGGAUGAUGGUGAUGAUAAUGAUGAUGAUGAUGGUGAUAAUGAUGAUGACGGUGAUGAUAAUGAUGAUUGAGGAUGAUGGUCCGGAGGAGGAUGAUGAUUGGUUAUGGGGAUGAUGAUGAUGAUGAUGAUGAUGAUGAUGAACAUGAUGUGAGGAGGAUGGAAAGUAAAACUGGACAAGUGCAUCUUGCAAAUGAAAUAGUAUCCACCAAUUUUUUAAUUUUUUUAUUCAUAAUGACUGUCCAGAAGUCCCAUCAUCUAUGUGUGAAUUCUUUUGAGAACUUAGUUUUUAAACCUAUGUGUAUAUAACGUGUUUUGAAAUGCAAUGCAAUGGAAUACCCAGUGCAAAAAAUUUCAGCUUCCCAAAAUGUUACAAAAUGGAUAUACAGUACAGUACAGUAUUUCUCAACAAAACUCUUCAAAUGCAGAAUGCAUGGAGAAGAAGUUGUUCAUAAUUAUUCAAAGUAAAUUGAAUGUUACAUGUAAGUCGGAGCAAUGACCAACUGACUUUGGUCA